Molecule: ribosomal RNA, 505 nt
Filed under: uncultured bacterium
Lineage: Bacteria
Description: bacterial SSU rRNA
Rfam family: Bacterial small subunit ribosomal RNA
Source: RNAcentral
AAUGAACGCUGGCGGCGUGCCUAACACAUGCAAGUCGAACGAGAAAGUCUCUUUCGGGAGGCGAGUAAAGUGGCGAACGGGUGAGUAACACGUGGGUAACCUACCCUCGAGAUGGGGAUAACUCCGCGAAAGCGGUGCUAAUACCCAAUAAUAUUCCCGAAUUUUACGAUACGGGAAUCAAAGAUGGCCUAUGCAUGCAAGCUAUCGCUUGAGGAGGGGCUCGCGGCCCAUUAGCUUGUUGGUGGGGUAAAGGCUUACCAAGGCGACGAUGGGUAGCCGGCCUGAGAGGGUGAUCGGCCACACUGGAACUGAGACACGGUCCAGACUCCUACGGGAGGCAGCAGUGGGGAAUUUUGCGCAAUGGGCGAAAGCCUGACGCAGCAACGCCGCGUGGGUGAUGAAGGCCUUCGGGUCGUAAAACCCUGUCUUGCGGGAAGAAAUGCAUUGGCUCUAAUAUAGUCGAUGCUUGACGGUACCGCAGGAGGAAGCCCCGGCCAACUCCGUG